RNAcentral lists this ribosomal RNA (404 nucleotides) under uncultured Actinomycetes bacterium. RNAcentral describes it as "bacterial SSU rRNA". It matches the Rfam family "Bacterial small subunit ribosomal RNA", at positions 355 to 774 of the family's 1533-position model. Lineage: Bacteria; Bacillati; Actinomycetota; Actinomycetes. The record is from RNAcentral.
UUAGGAAUCUUGCGCAAUGGGCGAAAGCCUGACGCAGCAACGCCGCGUGGGGGAUGAAGGCCUUCGGGUUGUAAACCCCUUUCAGUGGGGACGAAUACAGACGGUACCCACAGAAGAAGCACCGGCCAACUACGUGCCAGCAGCCGCGGUGACACGUAGGGUGCAAGCGUUGUCCGGAUUUAUUGGGCGUAAAGGGCUCGUAGGCGGUUCGACAAGUCGGGUGUGAAACCUCCAGGCUCAACCUGGAGUCGCCACCCGAAACUGUUGUGACUUGAGUCCGGUAGAGGAGUAUGGAAUUUGUGGUGUAGCGGUGGAAUGCGCAGAUAUCACAAGGAACACCAGUAGCGAAGGCGAUACUCUGGGCCGGAACUGACGCUGAGGAGCGAAAGCAUGGGGAGCAAACA